Molecule: ribosomal RNA, 201 nt
Filed under: Clostridioides difficile
Lineage: Bacteria; Bacillati; Bacillota; Clostridia; Peptostreptococcales; Peptostreptococcaceae
Description: partial 16S ribosomal RNA
Rfam family: Bacterial small subunit ribosomal RNA
Source: RNAcentral
GGAGCAAACAGGAUUAUAUCCCCUGGUAGUCCACGCUGUAAACGAAGAGUACUAGGUGUCGGGGGUUACCCCCCUCGGUGCCGCAGCUAACGCAUUAAGUACUCCGCCUGGGAAGUACGCUCGCAAGCGUGCAACUCAAAGGACUUGACGGGGACCCGCACAAGUUGCGGAGCAUGUGGUUUAAUUGGAAGCAACGCGAAG